Molecule: long non-coding RNA, 1845 nt
Organism: Pteropus alecto (black flying fox)
Lineage: Eukaryota; Metazoa; Chordata; Mammalia; Chiroptera; Pteropodidae
Exons: 3
Source: RefSeq, a predicted model, not a curated record
GGAAGGAGGACUCGCCUCAGGGCUUCGCCAGGCCACGAGCCGUCCCUCUUCGCGGACGUGGCGGCGGAGCCGGGUGGCGCGAGGUGGAACACCGGGCCAGGGGACGCGCUCAGGCCGCCGCCGAAGAAGCUGCUUGCGAAGAAUGGCGUUGCUGAAAUGGACCUGCAAAAGAUCGAAUUCUCCCCACUCUCCAAAUUAUAGAAUGGAACUAGGAAAGUAAACCUCCCCAAAGGGUUUUAAUAUGGCUAAUUUUUGAGAGCCCUAGAGUGAAGUCUGCAUCAAAGAAAAAUCAGCUGUGUUCAUUCUUAAACGUAGUAGAAAAAUGGAAUAACCAAAUUACUAAAAUAUCACUGUUGACUGCGCGUAAGCGAAACCUUAGAUAAGAGGAUACGACUGGAAUGCUUACCUUAAGGAUGUUUGUGAGGAUUUAAUGAGAUGAUGUGUGCCAAGAAGAGUGUCUGGAAAGUAAUAGUGCUCAGUAAUUGUUAGCUCCUUUCUCCCUCUAGAAGUUUUAUGUAUAAAGUAGCUUUUAAAUCUUUAGAUCCUAGAAGGUUUGAGGUUACAGAGAAAGCUAGUCUGCUGAACUGGCAUCUGAAAGAUUUACUAGAGUCCAUGUACUUGGUUUGUUUAUAAACAUUAAGAGGUAUUUUUUGAGAUAGACUGGUAUAGUUCAGUGGUUUUCAACUUUCAAGCAUCUGAAGUCCUUGUUAAAAAUGCAAAUUUCUGGAACCCAUUCCCGGAAGUUCCAAAUUGACCUGGAGUAGAACCAACCCAGGAAUUUGCAGUUUUGACAGGUAACCCAAGUUAUUUUGAUGCAGUCAGCCCAAAGACCACAGUUUGAAAAACUCUGGUAUAAUUCAAAGACUACUAAUUCUAGUUCCACCUCUGUUUCUGACUUGGAAAAGUCCUUUAGCUUCUCUGGAUUUCUAGUACCUCUCCUACAAAACAGAUGAAUUGUCCUGGCUUAUUUCACAUGUGAGUGGUGAGAUUCUAAUCUUUUCAUCCUCCUGCACACGUACCGUGCAGUAUUUUCUUCUCUGAAAAAAAAAAAAAAAAAUUUAAACCUUUCUGCAAGGCAAUGUGCUCUGUGAUCUGGCCCUUAUCUGUCUUUCUAGCUUCAUUGCUUGGUAUCCUAAAAUCAUUCUCCAAACUUCCAUAUCUUUACACAUUUAUUUCCUCCGUCUUGAAAGCCAUUCUCUUUUUGUCCAUCUGGUGAAUGCCUACCUAAUCCUGAAACUCAGUGCAAGCAUCACCUCUAUAAAAACCUUCCUGAUACUUGUAUUUGAAUGUAAAUUUAGUCUCUGCAACAGAGACACAAAAUAACCACUGGCUUCGAUAAUACAGAACUUUAUUUCUCACAUAAAGUCCUGUUGGCAUAGUGGCUCUCCUCUACAAAGUCAUCAGGCACCCAGACUUAUUUUAAACUGCAUCUGAGGGCUUUGCCCUUGUUUGCAUAGUUCAAGAUGGCUUACCAUCAUGUCCAGCCAGUGGUUAGGUAAAUAAAGAGGGAAGGGAGGGCAUGCCGAUUCUUUUCAAGGACAUGACAUGAAAGGAGCACACAUCACUUUUGCUGACAUUCCACUAGCCAGAACUUAGUUAUGUGGCAUACCUAAUAAAGAAGUUGGUAAUUGUAUCCAGCUAAAACUUACGGAACUAUUACUAUAAAAGAAGGGGAGACUGGGUUUUGGGGAGCAAUUAGCAGUCUCUGCUACAAAUAUCUACUCCCGACCUCUUUACCAACUAAUACAUACAUGCAUUCAUUAUUUAAACAAGAAUAUGUUAAAUGCUCAGCCUUGGUAGUAAAAAAUGAAUGUAUAGAAAUUAUCAGGGACCUUACUCUCAAUA